Molecule: non-coding RNA, 39 nt
Filed under: Trypanosoma brucei brucei
Lineage: Eukaryota; Euglenozoa; Kinetoplastea; Trypanosomatida; Trypanosomatidae
Source: RNAcentral
AUAACUCGAUGUAAGUGAAUCUGUGAGACUAUGAUUAUA